Molecule: RNA transcript, 1977 nt
Organism: Populus trichocarpa (black cottonwood)
Lineage: Eukaryota; Viridiplantae; Streptophyta; Magnoliopsida; Malpighiales; Salicaceae
Gene name: ribonuclease III domain-containing protein RNC1, chloroplastic
Exons: 6
Source: RefSeq, a predicted model, not a curated record
AAGUCGUCACCACCACCACCUUGCUAGUCACCACUACACCUUAUCCAUCUUCCUAGCCGAAAACCAAAACCCACCAUUUUCUGUCCUAAGUAAAUUUGAAGUAUUUCACAUUUCUUUUAACACUUUCAGACCAGUAAUGGAACUCUCCUCUUCUUUCUCUCAAUUACCAAAAAUAUCUGACAUCUCCUUCUCAUCUUCUUGUGCUCCUUUCCCCCUUCAAAUCAGAUACCUUAAACCCCACCACAAAACCCUACAAAAUCUUGGUGUUUUUGCAGUCGCUAUAGACCCACAAGAACUCCCUAAAAACAGCCCUCAAAGACUUCUUAAAGAACUAGCAGAACGCAAGAAAACCACAUCCCCAAAGAGAAGAAUACCCCCCAAAAGAUUCAUACUUAAACCCCCACUCGAUGAUAAAAGACUCGCACAGAGGUUUUUGAAUAGCCCUCAACUGUCCCUCAAACAAUUUCCAUUAUUGAGUUCUUGUUUGCCUUCUUCAAGGCUGAACAAUGCUGAUCAAACUUGGAUUGAUGAGUAUUUGUUAGAAGCCAAACAAGCUUUGGGGUACCCUUUAGAGCCAAGUGAUAGAUUUGGGGAUGAUAAUCCUGCUAAACAAUUUGAUACUUUGUUGUAUUUGGCAUUUCAGCAUCCGAGUUGCGAACGGACUAAUGCCAGGCAUGUGAGAUCAGGGCAUUCAAGGUUGUGCUUCUUGGGGCAGUAUGUUUUGGAAUUGGCUUUCGCUGAGUAUUUCUUGCAGAGAUAUCCUAGGGAGUCUCCUGCUCCUUUGAGGGAAAGAGUUUUUGGGUUGAUUGGGAAGAGGAAUUUGCCCAAAUGGAUUAAAGCUGCCAGUUUGCACAACUUGAUUUUUCCUUAUGAUAAUAUGGAUAAGUUGCAGAGGAAGGAGCGAGAACCGCCAGUUAAGUCUGUGUUCUGGGCUGUGUUUGGGGCAAUAUACUUGUGUUUUGGCAUGCCAGAAGUAUAUCGUGUUCUUUUUGAAGUAUUUGAGAUGGACCCAGAAGCAGAGGACUGCCAGCCAAAAUUAAGGAGGCAAUUUGAAGAUGUAGAUUAUGUUUCUGUUGAAUUUGAAGGCAAGCAGCUCAGUUGGCAAGAUGUUGCUGCUUUGCAGCCUCCUGAAGAUGCUCUCUUUGCACACCCUAGGCUUUUCAGGGCUUGUGUCCCACCAGGCAUGCACCGAUUCCGAGGAAAUAUAUGGGAUUAUGAAAGCAGACCCCAUGUUAUGCGAACAUUGGGCUAUCCCCUAACAAUGAGAGACAGAAUUCCAGACAUAACUAAAGCUAGGAAUAUCGAACUUGGACUUGGGUUACAGCUCUGUUUCCUGCACCCAUCAAACUACAAAUUUGAGCACCCUCGAUUUUGUUAUGAGCGAUUAGAAUAUGUUGGCCAAAAGAUCCAGGAUAUUGUCAUGGCCGAGAGAUUACUGAUGAAGCAUCUGGAUGCUCCUGGAAAGUGGCUACAGGAGAAGCACCGCCGUGUUCUCAUGAACAAGUUCUGUGGAAGGUACUUGAGAGAGAAGCAUCUCCAUAAAUAUAUCACCUAUGCUGACAAGGUUCAAGAUGCAUACGAGCACAAUAGAAGACUAAGAAACCCUUCGACAACUGCUGUUAACCAUUCCCUUCACGGGCUUUCAUACACUAUAUAUGGGAAACCAGACGUGAGGCGCCUCAUGUUUGACGUUUUUGAUUUUGAGCAAACUCAACCAAAACUUGUAUGAAGAUUCAAUGAAAAUAAUUUCGUUUUCGUUUCCUUUAGCCUCUGAAAUACAAGUGGAUUAAAGGUUGGCUGGUAGUGGUGAACGUCGCUCAGAUAUUUGACAGAAUUUUUGACACGAAUUAUACACUCACCAUGCAUUAUGCAAAGUUUUAAAUUUGGGCGAACUACAUUUUUGCUCCUAUAAACUAUAAAGUAUGAAGUCAUCAAUAUUCCACUUCCCUUCCAAUAAUUUAAAAUCUCUUGAUAUUA